This 449-nucleotide ribosomal RNA is filed under the name uncultured bacterium. RNAcentral's name for it is "partial 16S ribosomal RNA". It matches the Rfam family "Bacterial small subunit ribosomal RNA", at positions 30 to 523 of the family's 1533-position model. The record is from RNAcentral.
AUUGAACGCUGGCGGCAGGCCUAACACAUGCAAGUCGAACGGAUCCUUCGGGAUUAGUGGCGGACGGGUGAGUAACGCGUGGGAACAUACCCAAAGGUACGGAAUAGCCUCGGGAAACUGGGAGUAAUACCGUAUGUGCUCGAAAGAGGAAAGAUUUAUCGCCUUUGGAUUGGCCCGCGUUGGAUUAGGUAGUUGGUGGGGUAAUGGCCUACCAAGCCGACGAUCCAUAGCUGGUUUGAGAGGAUGAUCAGCCACACCGGGACUGAGACACGGCCCAGACUCCUACGGGAGGCAGCAGUGGGGAAUCUUAGACAAUGGGGGAAACCCUGAUCUAGCCAUGCCGCGUGAUCGAUGAAGGCCUUAGGGUUGUAAAGAUCUUUCAGGUGGGAAGAUAAUGACUGUGCCACCAGAAGAAGCCCCGGCUAACUCCGUGCCAGCCGCCGCCGUAA